RNAcentral lists this small nuclear RNA (207 nucleotides) under Ursus thibetanus thibetanus. RNAcentral's name for it is "U2 spliceosomal RNA (ENSUTTG00000001737.1)". The stretch from base 1 to 113 matches the Rfam family "U2 spliceosomal RNA". From Rfam's summary of the family: U2 is a small nuclear RNA (snRNA) component of the spliceosome (involved in pre-mRNA splicing). Complementary binding between U2 snRNA (in an area lying towards the 5' end but 3' to hairpin I) and the branchpoint sequence (BPS) of the intron results the bulging out of an unpaired adenosine, on the BPS, which initiates a nucleophilic attack at the intronic 5' splice site, thus starting the first of two transesterification reactions that mediate splicing. The record is from RNAcentral. Lineage: Eukaryota; Metazoa; Chordata; Mammalia; Carnivora; Ursidae.
AUCGCUUCUCGGCCUUUUGGCUAAGAUCAAGUGUAGUAUCUGUUCUUAUCAGUUUAAAAACACUCGGUGUGUUUAUGUUGCGGAUACGUAAAUACAUACAUCCCCCACCUUUCAAAAGUACACCUUGCAUCACUUCCUUUUAACAAAAGGCCUGCCUACAUUAGUAUCCUUUUUUGCUAACUGAAAGAACGCUGAGGAAGAUUUUCA